UUUAAAUAUCUUAUAUAUAAAAUUAUCGUGUCACAAUGUUCGUUCCCAUACUCCUCCGAGACGGCUUGAUCGAUUCUCAUGAAAUUUUAUAUGCAUAUUCAGUAGGUCUGAGAAUCGGCUACUAUCUAAGUUUGUAUGCUCUGCGAUAAGUGGUUCCGGAGUUAUGGCCUCUUAAGUCAAAGUAUACUAGCACGCACGAUAUUCAACAAUUAUUAUUUUGCCAUGGAGAGAUA
Molecule: non-coding RNA, 233 nt
Organism: Cinara cedri
Lineage: Eukaryota; Metazoa; Arthropoda; Insecta; Hemiptera; Aphididae
Source: the annotation of a GenBank genome assembly